GAGAAAAUCUUCUAGCGAGGUUCUAGCCGCCCGUACCCCAAACCGACUCAGGUGGUUAGGUAGAGAAUACCAAGGCGAUCGAGUGAAUCGUGGUUAAGGAAUUCGGCAAAAUACCCCCGUAACUUCGGGAGAAGGGGGGCCCAGAGGGUGACGGGACUUGCUCCCCGAGCCUGAACGGCCGCAGAGACCAGGGAGAAGCGACUGUUUACUAAAAACACAGGUCCGUGCCAAGUCGCAAGACGAUGUAUACGGACUGACGCCUGCCCGGUGCUGGAACGUUAAGGGGACCGGUUAGCCUCACGGCGAAGCUGAGAACUUAAGCGCCAGUAAACGGCGGUGGUAACUAUAACCAUCCUAAGGUAGCGAAAUUCCUUGUCGGGUAAGUUCCGACCUGCACGAAUGGCGUAACGACUUCUCCACUGUCUCAACCACGAACUCGGCGAAAUUGCACUACGAGUAAAGAUGCUCGUUACGCGCAGAAGGACGGAAAGACCCCGGGACCUUUACUACAGCUUGGUAUUGGUGUUCGGUACGGCUUGUGUAGGAUAGGUGGGAGACUGUGAAGCUGACACGCCAGUGUCGGUGGAGUCAACGUUGAAAUACCACUCUGGUCGUUCUGGAUAUCUAACCUAGGUCCGUAAUCCGGAUCAGGGACAGUGCCUGGUGGGUAGUUUAACUGGGGCGGUUGCCUCCUAAAAGGUAACGGAGGCGCCCAAAGGUUCCCUCAGCCUGGUUGGCAAUCAGGUUUCGAGUGUAAGUGCACAAGGGAGCUUGACUGUGAGACUGACAAGUCGAACAGGGACGAAAGUCGGGACUAGUGAUCCGGCGGUGGCUUGUGGAAGCGCCGUCGCUCAACGGAUAAAAGGUACCCCGGGGAUAACAGGCUGAUCUUGCCCAAGAGUCCAUAUCGACGGCAUGGUUUGGCACCUCGAUGUCGGCUCGUCGCAUCCUGGGGCUGGAGUAGGUCCCAAGGGUUGGGCUGUUCGCCCAUUAAAGCGGUACGCGAGCUGGGUUUAGAACGUCGUGAGACAGUUCGGUCCCUAUCCUCUGCGCGCGCAGGAGACUUGAGAAGGGCUGUCCCUAGUACGAGAGGACCGGGAUGGACGAACCUCUGGUGUGUCAGUUGUUCUGCCGAGAGCACCGCUGAUUAGCUACGUUCGGGAGUGAUAACCGCUGAAAGCAUCUAAGCGGGAAGCAUGCUUCAAGAUGAGGUUUCCAUGGGGUUUACCCCGAGAGGCUCCCAGCUAGACUACUGGGUUGAUAGGCCGGAUGUGGAAGUGCGGUAACGCAUGGAGCUGACCGGUACUAAUAAGCCGAUAACUUGACC
This 1327-nucleotide ribosomal RNA is filed under the name metagenome. RNAcentral's name for it is "bacterial LSU rRNA". It matches the Rfam family "Bacterial large subunit ribosomal RNA", at positions 1610 to 2925 of the family's 2925-position model. The record is from RNAcentral.